Molecule: ribosomal RNA, 888 nt
Filed under: uncultured crenarchaeote
Lineage: Archaea; Thermoproteati; Thermoproteota
Description: bacterial SSU rRNA
Rfam family: Archaeal small subunit ribosomal RNA (bases 1-654)
Source: RNAcentral
GAUACUAUUAUCACAAUCGCACAGAAAGUGUAGAUAAGGGAAUCCUAAGUGCUCACGCUUAGCGUGGGCUUUUGAAAAGAAAAUACUUUGGCGAAUAAGUGGGGGGUAAGACUGGUGCCAGCCGCCGCGGUAACACCAGCGCCACGAGUGGGGAUCAGGUUUAUUUGGCCUAAAGCGUCCGUAGCAGGUUUUGUAAAUUUCUUGUUAAAUUGUUGAGCUUAACUUAACAUCUGCGGGAAAGACUGCAAAACUUGGAACUGGAAGGGGUAAGCGGUAUUUUUGGGGGAGCGGUAAAAUGUUAUAAUCCCAGGGGGACCACCGGGGCCGAAGGGGGCUUACCAGAACAGAUUCGACUGUGAGGGACGAAAGCUAGGGGAGCAAAACGGAUUAGAUACCCGUGAGGUCCUAGCGGUAAACACUGCGAGCUAGAUGUGGGGCAAACUCCGAGUUUGUGCUGUACCGAAACGAAGGUGGAAGCUCGCCCCCCGGGGAAGUAUAGUCCCAAGUCCGAAACUUAAAGGAAUUGGCGGGGGAAAGGGCGAAUUCGCGGCCGCUAAAAUUCAAUUCGCCCUAUAGUGAGUCGUAUACAAUUCACUGGCGGCGUUUUAAAAAAGGAAAAACUUUACCUUUUUUCCCCGCCUCAAAUUACCUUUCCUAAAGGGAUUGGCUCCGGUUUAACAAUCCCCUUGCUGCGGGGCCCCCGGGAGGUUUCCAGUGUUAGGACACCCAUCUAACCUUCCUCCCCCAUACCAUCAAGCCACAAGUGCAGCGGGCGAUGCGUGUGGAAGAGACUAUAUCACACGAUACAAACGCACAUGGCAGUGGGUCGGAGGACCAGGACAACCGAUAAAUCCUUAUUUUUAGUCUGGAUGUAGGUAGCCGCGAUGU